This 1009-nucleotide ribosomal RNA is filed under the name Paraburkholderia sediminicola. Its description in RNAcentral is "bacterial SSU rRNA". It matches the Rfam family "Bacterial small subunit ribosomal RNA", at positions 60 to 1061 of the family's 1533-position model. Lineage: Bacteria; Pseudomonadati; Pseudomonadota; Betaproteobacteria; Burkholderiales; Burkholderiaceae. The record is from RNAcentral.
AGUCGAACGGCAGCACGGGGGCAACCCUGGUGGCGAGUGGCGAACGGGUGAGUAAUACAUCGGAACGUGUCCUGUAGUGGGGGAUAGCCCGGCGAAAGCCGGAUUAAUACCGCAUACGCUCUGCGGAGGAAAGCGGGGGAUCCUUCGGGACCUCGCGCUACAGGGGCGGCCGAUGGCAGAUUAGCUAGUUGGUGGGGUAAAGGCCUACCAAGGCGACGAUCUGUAGCUGGUCUGAGAGGACGACCAGCCACACUGGGACUGAGACACGGCCCAGACUCCUACGGGAGGCAGCAGUGGGGAAUUUUGGACAAUGGGCGAAAGCCUGAUCCAGCAAUGCCGCGUGUGUGAAGAAGGCCUUCGGGUUGUAAAGCACUUUUGUCCGGAAAGAAAACCUCCGCCCUAAUAUGGUGGGGGGAUGACGGUACCGGAAGAAUAAGCACCGGCUAACUACGUGCCAGCAGCCGCGGUAAUACGUAGGGUGCAAGCGUUAAUCGGAAUUACUGGGCGUAAAGCGUGCGCAGGCGGUCCGCUAAGACAGAUGUGAAAUCCCCGGGCUUAACCUGGGAACUGCAUUUGUGACUGGCGGGCUAGAGUAUGGCAGAGGGGGGUAGAAUUCCACGUGUAGCAGUGAAAUGCGUAGAGAUGUGGAGGAAUACCGAUGGCGAAGGCAGCCCCCUGGGCCAAUACUGACGCUCAUGCACGAAAGCGUGGGGAGCAAACAGGAUUAGAUACCCUGGUAGUCCACGCCCUAAACGAUGUCAACUAGUUGUCGGGUCUUCAUUGACUUGGUAACGUAGCUAACGCGUGAAGUUGACCGCCUGGGGAGUACGGUCGCAAGAUUAAAACUCAAAGGAAUUGACGGGGACCCGCACAAGCGGUGGAUGAUGUGGAUUAAUUCGAUGCAACGCGAAAAACCUUACCUACCCUUGACAUGUAUGGAAUCCUGCUGAGAGGUGGGAGUGCCCGAAAGGGAGCCAUAACACAGGUGCUGCAUGGCUGUCGUCAGCUC